ACGCUGGCGGCGUGCUUAACACAUGCAAGUCGAGCGAAGCGGUUAGAAGAUUCUUCGGAUGAUUCUUAACUGACUGAGCGGCGGACGGGUGAGUAACGCGUGGGUGACCUGCCCCAUACCGGGGGAUAACAGCUGGAAACGGCUGCUAAUACCGCAUAAGCGCACAGAGCUGCGUGGCUCGGUGUGAAAAACUCCGGUGGUAUGGGAUGGGCCCGCGUCUGAUUAGGCAGUUGGCGGGGUAACGGCCCACCAAACCGACGAUCAGUAGCCGGCCUGAGAGGGCGACCGGCCACAUUGGGACUGAGACACGGCCCAAACUCCUACGGGAGGCAGCAGUGGGGAAUAUUGCACAAUGGGGGAAACCCUGAUGCAGCGACGCCGCGUGAGCGAAGAAGUAUUUCGGUAUGUAAAGCUCUAUCAGCAGGGAAGAUAAUGACGGUACCUGACUAAGAAGCCCCGGCUAACUACGUGCCAGCAGCCGCGGUAAUACGUAGGGGGCAAGCGUUAUCCGGAUUUACUGGGUGUAAAGGGAGCGUAGACGGCAAGGCAAGUCUGAUGUGAAAACCCAGGGCUUAACCCUGGGACUGCAUUGGAAACUGUCUGGCUCGAGUGCCGGAGAGGUAAGCGGAAUUCCUAGUGGAGCGGUGAAAUGCGUAGAUAUUAGGAAGAACACCAGUGGCGAAGGCGGCUUACUGGACGGUAACUGACGUUGAGGCUCGAAAGCGUGGGGAGCAAACAGG
RNAcentral lists this ribosomal RNA (740 nucleotides) under uncultured Lachnospiraceae bacterium. Its description in RNAcentral is "bacterial SSU rRNA". It matches the Rfam family "Bacterial small subunit ribosomal RNA", at positions 33 to 776 of the family's 1533-position model. Lineage: Bacteria; Bacillati; Bacillota; Clostridia; Lachnospirales; Lachnospiraceae. The record is from RNAcentral.